UACGUAGGGUGCAAGCGUUGUCCGGAAUUAUUGGGCGUAAAGAGCUCGUAGGCGGUUUGUCGCGUCUGCUGUGAAAACUCGGGGCUUAACCCCGGGCCUGCAGUGGGUACGGGCAGACUAGAGUGCGGUAGGGGAGACUGGAAUUCCUGGUGUAGCGGUGAAAUGCGCAGAUAUCAGGAGGAACACCGGUGGCGAAGGCGGGUCUCUGGGCCGAACUGACGCUGAGGAGCGAAAGCGUGGGGAGCGAACAGG
This 252-nucleotide ribosomal RNA is filed under the name uncultured bacterium. RNAcentral describes it as "partial 16S ribosomal RNA". It matches the Rfam family "Bacterial small subunit ribosomal RNA", at positions 524 to 776 of the family's 1533-position model. The record is from RNAcentral.